RNAcentral lists this ribosomal RNA (450 nucleotides) under uncultured bacterium. RNAcentral's name for it is "partial 16S ribosomal RNA". It matches the Rfam family "Bacterial small subunit ribosomal RNA", at positions 338 to 795 of the family's 1533-position model. The record is from RNAcentral.
UCUACGGGGGGCAGCAGUGGGGAAUCUUGCGCAAUGGUCGAAAGACUGACGCAGCGACGCCGCGUGCGGGAGGAAGCCCUUCGGGGUGUAAACCGCUGUUACUCGGGACGAACUUCCCGAUUUAUCGGGAUUGACGGUACCGGGGGAGGAAGCACCGGCUAACUCUGUGCCAGCAGCCGCGGUAAUACAGAGGGUGCGAGCGUUGUCCCGAAUCACUGGGCGUAAAGAGGGGGUAGGCGGCUUUUCAAGUGAAAGCUCGGGGCUUAACUCCGAGUCUGCCGUGCGAACUGGGAGGCUUGAGUCUGGUAGAGGUCGAUGGAAUUCCGGGUGUAGCGGUGGAAUGCGUAGAGAUCCGGAAGAACACCGGUGGCGAAGGCGGUCGACUGGGCCAGAACUGACGCUGAGGCGCGACAGCGUGGGGAGCAAACAGGAUUAGAUACCCGUGUAGUC